RNAcentral lists this ribosomal RNA (253 nucleotides) under uncultured bacterium. Its description in RNAcentral is "partial 16S ribosomal RNA". It matches the Rfam family "Bacterial small subunit ribosomal RNA", at positions 524 to 776 of the family's 1533-position model. The record is from RNAcentral.
UACGGAGGUUGCGAGCGUUGUCCGGAAUCACUGGGCGUAAAGGGCGCGUAGGUGGCGCGGGAAGUCAACGGUGAAAGUUCGGGGCUCAACCCUGAAUCGGCCGUCGAUACUCCCGGGCUCGAGCACUGUAGAGGCAGAUGGAAUUCCGGGUGUAGCGGUGGAAUGCGUAGAGAUCCGGAAGAACACCGGUGGCGAAGGCGGUCUGCUGGGCAGUUGCUGACACUGAUGCGCGACAGCGUGGGGAGCAAACAGG